GGUUUGAUUCUGGCUCAGAUUGAACGCUGGCGGGAUGUGCUUUACACAUGCAGUCGAACAGCAGCACGGACUUCGGUCUGGUGGCGAGUGGCGAACAGGUGAGUAAUGUAUCGGAACGUGCCUAGUAGCGGGGGAUAACUACGCGAAAGCGUAGCUAAUGCCGCAUACGCCCUUCGGGGAAAAGCGGGGGACCUUCGGGCCUCGCACUAUUAGAGCGGCCGAUAUCAGAUUAGCUAGUUAAUUGGGGUAACGGCUCACCAAGGCGACGAUCCGUAGCUGGUUUGAAGGUUUGACCAGCCACACUGGGACUGAGACACGGCCCAGACUCCUGCAGGGAGGCAGCAGUGAGGAAUUUUGGACAAUGGGGGAAACCCUGAUCCAGCCAUCCCGCGUGUGCGAUGAAGGCCUUCUGGUUGUAAAGCACUUUUGGCAGGAAAAACGGCACGGGAUAAUACCCGUGCAGCUGACAGUACCUGCAGAAUAAGCACCGGCUAACUACGUGCCAGCAGCCGCAGUAAUACGUAGGGUGCAAGCGUUAAUCGGAAUUACUGGGCGUAAAGCGUGCGCAGGCGGUUCGGAAAGAAAGAUGCAAAUCAGAGCUUAACUUUGAACUGCAUUUUUUAACUACAGGCUAGAGUGUGUCGAGAGGAGGUGGAGAUUCCGCGUGUAGCGAUGAAAUGCGCUUAGAUAUGCGGAGGAACACCGAUGGCGAAGAGAACCUCUGGGGAUAACACGACGCUUCAUGCACGAAAGCGUGGGAAGCAAACAGGAUUAGAUACCCUGGUAGUCCACGCCCUAAACGAUGUCAACUAGCUGUUGGGGCCUUCGGGCCCUUGGUAGCGCAGCUAACGCGUGAAGUUGACCGCAUGGGAGAGGUACGGUCGCAAGAUUAAAACUCAAAGGAAUUGACGGGGACCCGCACAAGCGGUGGAUGAUGUGGAUUAAUUCGAUGCAACACCCGAAAAAACCUUACCACCCUUGACAUGUCUGGAAUCGAAGAGAUUUGGGAGUGCUCGCAAGAGAACCGGAACACAGGUGCUGCAUGGCUGUCGUCAGCUCGUGUCUCGUGAGAUGUUGGGUUAAGUCCACUAACAAACUGUCCCCUUGUCGUGGAAUUUUUACGAAGGGCACUCUAAUGAGACUGCCGGUAAACCAGAGGAAGGUGGGGAUGACGUCAAGUCCCUCGCAGCCCUUAUGGGUAGGGCUUCACGUCUGCAAUGGUCGCGGGACAGAGAAGUCGCCAACCCGCGAGAGACCAAUCCCAGAAACCCGAUCGUAGUCGGAUCACAGUCUGCAGCUCGGCUGCGUGAAGUCGGAAUCGCUAGUAAUCGCGGAUCAGCAUGUCGCAAUUGAAUACAUUCCCGGGUCUUCCCACAUGCCGUCACACCAUGGGAGUGGGUUUUACCAGAAGUGAUUAGCCUAACCGUAAGGAGGGCGAUUGCGGUAAGUUUAUGACUGGGGUGAAGUCAUGCUGAGUAACUCUAUUUACUACAGUAU
RNAcentral lists this ribosomal RNA (1497 nucleotides) under uncultured Bordetella sp. RNAcentral describes it as "partial 16S-23S ribosomal RNA intergenic spacer". It matches the Rfam family "Bacterial small subunit ribosomal RNA". The record is from RNAcentral. Lineage: Bacteria; Pseudomonadati; Pseudomonadota; Betaproteobacteria; Burkholderiales; Alcaligenaceae.